Molecule: long non-coding RNA, 4047 nt
Organism: Cygnus olor (mute swan)
Lineage: Eukaryota; Metazoa; Chordata; Aves; Anseriformes; Anatidae
Exons: 5
Source: RefSeq, a predicted model, not a curated record
UCAUACAAAUAGCAUGUGUACAAGCAUCACAAUACUUUCUUUCCUUUCUAGAAUGUGCAAGAAAAUUCAUCUGACAACUAUCAACAUUCAGGAUUAGCCUAAGGACAGCCAGAGCUGCCUGAAUCUCAACAGCAUAAACUGAACAGCCACAGCUGCUUCACAAUGAGAAGCAUUCCUUAGAGCUCAGAGCAGGAGAACUAGAAAAGGCUGUGGAAGUACCACCACAGCCUUAUUCACAGAUUUCAACGAUGUCAUAGCCCAAUGCAACACAGACAAGGAACGCAUCCCCUGUGCAUCACAAGCCAGCGGCCUGAGAAACCAAAUACACAAUGUACAGGCAAAAAGAAAUAAAUCUCAAAGGAAACAGAGGAUUUGUUUCCCGACUGUCCAUUGGUGAAAGUGAGGCACGGGGCAGCGCGCUGCUCAAGGUCACGCAGGGAGUCAGCAGGGGAGCUGGGAAGUGAACUGCCGAGCCCUGACCUCCAGGCAGCUCCCUGUCAUUAGAUCGUGCUCUUUUCCUUGCAGCUGCGCUCCUUACAGUGAGAGCUAUUUCAACUGCGAAUGAAGGAAACACUCCUGGCUUUCUCAGAGAGUCUGAGGAGCUGCAAGAUCAGCGUGUUGCACACCUUGCUUCCCUGCAUCCCCACAGGUCGGAGUGCUGGGUAGGAGAAGCACGGCCAUCCCAUCUGUGUCCUUCACACUGUCUUCAGAGGAAGGUCCUGAAAACGAAAUGGCCUGGAGCCCUAUCUUGCCUUACAAGCCUGUGAAGGCAGGAACAGCUCAAACCUCCGUGCCUAUCACGACACAUGCUCACACCAUCCAUGCCUAUCAAGGGACAUGGCCCACAGGUCAGCCGGGCAGAUCACAUCAGGAAACGCACAGGCAUCACGUAUCCUCUGCUAAACCUCUCAGUACUCCAAGACCAAUGACUCCGCGCAGCAAGUAGGUGUGGUGUCCUCUGAAUUACCGCUCCAGCUGCAGUCGCAAGGCAGCUGGGGAUAAGGGCCGGCCGUGCACAUGCCAAGAGUGCUGACUCACCAGAGGAACUCCCUGGGCAGUCCCGGGAACUCCCCAGACAGUUUCUGUGAGAGGAGAUAAUGGACUGAAGGCUGCGGGAGUGCAGGAGCCCGCCCCGACCCCACCAGAGUCAGAGGGAUCGAUGAAGGUCCCCGGGCAGCCCCAGUCCAGCUUCGUGUCAGCCAGAUAAGUGAGGGUGUGACAGGGGCUGGGGUGGCAGGGAGAUCCCGGCAGCCCUGGGAGCAACACGGGGAGCUCCUGCCCCACACACGUGAAGGAGCUGGUGGCCUGGCAGGCACUACUCGUGUGUUCGGGUAUGUUCAUCACUGGACGGGGCAGUUCCUGCACACGGCUGAGUUGACAGAAACUCACCAUGUGUGCACCAGAGCGGUGGCAUGGGAGCACAGGCCAGCUGGAUUUUAAGAAUUCACCAGCCAGUGCUUUGGGGAGUCUGAUCUGAACCAGCUGAAAACGCUGUUACGAGCACACUCACAACGGAGCCUCCUAUCACCACAUGGCCACACUGUCACAACAGUGACAACAUUUACACAAGAGCAUUACCUCAUGCGGCUGAUCCACACCAGAUCCUUUAGCUAACACGUACACCAGUGUUUGUGUAACAUGGACCAGAAGGAUCUCUAUGAAAACGAGAGCCCACCACCACACAAGAUGUCCACAAUGAAAUCACAUGAGGCUUGAAAUAUUACCCCAGAGUGUAAGGGCAUUUGUCCAAGGAAGUGUAUCUGAUGCCACAGUCGGAUAUUGUGUAAGGUAGCUAUAAUUCUGGCUUGCAGAAUACAUGCUCCUUUCCCAAAAUACCUACCAAAUAACUGCAUUCCAGUAUCCUGCCCCACUCCUCACAACACAAAAUUGCUGGUUACACAGAUAAUGUUCAUAAGCAUUGGUGGUUUGUGGGCAAUACCCAUUUAUUUAUAAUCUGGCCAUAAUCCACUACAGCACCAGACACAGACGCUCCACUGGUAGGAACAGGCACUUCCCUUCAGGCCGUCUGUAAACAUGCAACAAGAAACUUCACACCAGAGUCUCUGAUCAGAGCUCCUGACCUGCUCCCUUGGCAUGCCUGUCCUGAGACUAACAGCCAGACUAGGUCACGCUCAUCCUCUUGCUUUUAAUCAGCCAGGAAUCCUGGCUCCGAGACUUGUUACAAAUUUCACAGUACACAGCCUGAGCAGGGACCUGAACCCCUCAGCCCUCCUGCCAUGACAGCAAGGCCAAGUGCUCAACACAGAGCUGAGAUGAGUCCCACCUGGACGCUGCCUGAGGACAACCAUGUGGGACUCUUCCUCCUGUGUUCAGGAAAAUGUGGCAUGGGCUAGGCCUGUAUCCACAAGGAGGUUUAGGUGUGACACUGAACAGGGUGCUUUGACACCUGGCUCCUGAAGUGGAAUUCACAAACCUAAGUUGUGCACACAAAAUUCAAUUUCCAAAAAGCAGACCAUAAAGGGGAGAGAUAUUUUAGAAAAAAAUAACUGGAUAUAACUGGUAAGGAAAGGAACAUGUCCAGAAUCCCUCCUACAAGGUACAUGCAUGCAGCACUAAAGUGACUUCAGUCAGUUACUUGUGUGAGACUGGUAUUCACAGCUUGAAGCUCAAAAAGGUGUUAGGUGUGUAAAGAGUCAGCCAUUAUGUCUAGGGAUUGCUUUCUGUAACAUAUGGGGGAAGGAAAAGACAAAUUAUUAGUAUCGACUUUAAUGCAACGCUGAAAGUAAGUAUAGUACUUGUUAGGGAAUGCACCUUCUACACCCAUUUCAACCCCAAACGAGCCUAAAUAAAUAUUCUAAAUUCAAGAAGGCAUAUAUUAGUGACCAUGUCAGAGACCAGGAUGUUCCCCCUUCCUUCUGAACUAUGCCAGUGUGAGAGCCCACAGAUAUCUUUGGAGGCUUAUACUGAGGUCCCAGUCCUUCACCUACAUUCCAUGUGGAAAACCUAUUUGCUAAAAUGCCUUAACUUCAUCUGGAACAAGAAACAGAAACCAGAAAUCGGGACUACUUCCUUCUGUCCCAUCCUUCUCUACACAACAUGCAAACUGGACAGAAACACUCUAUUAGCAUAGCUCUCUAUGAAUGCUCAGUCUACAAUCUUGAUUUUAAAAUACUCUGCCUAGGGGAAAAACUCUUGGUCAGAAAAACAAUAUUCUCUGCAGGCCUCACUGUAGAACUCAGAUGUAUCACAUUUCUUAAGGUAUUCUUAAGGUAUGAAACCUCAAGCAACACACAUACCAGAGGUGUCUUCAAGUUCCGCUUGACUCAAUUCACCUUCUUCUUCCCACCCCACUGAAGGGAGGAGGCAGGGGUGAGCUCUGGCCACGUCCAAAGCUCUGUAUGAGUCUGCUGUCAAGACUGGACCCUUUGACUUCUUCACUUCUAUUUAUAAACAUAGUUAGGUAUUACAAGAGCCAGACUACUUAACCAUGAAGACUGUCAAAAUAGAUAAUGUAUUGUGUCUCACUGAAUUACAAACUGGCUGGGUGCCUAGCCUUUUGACUUCAAAGGUCCACUCCAUCAUAGUUCAAGCAAUGUCUUCUAUCUACUUUAAAAGUUGUGACAACAGUUAACUGUGAAAUGACUAUAUGGAUCAUCCAAAUUGUAUUUGUUAAUCAUUCUGUUGGUAAACUGCACCAGUUACUAGAUCUGAUGCCAACUUAGGAAGAGCAAUACUCUACCAGAAAAUGCAGCUAUGACCUUCAUUCUAACAGGAUAACGCUCAGCGGUGGUCUCUUGUGGUAUCCACACUGACGUGUGCUCAGAGAAGUGAAGGUGUUAACUUACUCCACGGGUUGUCUGAGAAAUUGCUUUCCUCAUGUAUGUAGGGAGCCCAUGUGCAUCCACAGUGGGAUCAAGAUUAGUAUUACAUUUCAAAGAACAAAGUACUUAACUGUAGUAACAGCUACAGCACAGUAACUGUUUUUAUGAGGCCCAUGAAAUUUUAUUUACCUCAGUGAAGGCAUUGCUUGUAUCUGCUUCCAUUAGUUAGAAAACUAAUGGCAUUUAUGGGGGUUAAUAUGGGUUA